This 935-nucleotide unclassified non-coding RNA is filed under the name Leishmania donovani. RNAcentral's name for it is "gene:unknown". The record is from RNAcentral. Lineage: Eukaryota; Euglenozoa; Kinetoplastea; Trypanosomatida; Trypanosomatidae.
ACGUACGCCUUCACGCCCGCAUCUGUGAUGAGCGACGAAUGACGCCCAAUGACGCUUUUCUUUUGUGUUGCUUACAAGCAGGACGCGUGACCAAAGAAUCAGAGGUGAAGAAGGAUGCCGAAGGCGUUUUUCUUCUCAAGGUGUCUAUUCUCUGCCAUACAGCAUGAGUUGAGGUCCGCUCUACCCCGCCUGUCACAGGCCCCGUCGCGUGAUGCAAAGCAGCGCUGGACACGCUCUACAGCAAUGCGCCAGCUCAGCCAUCGUAGCAGCGCACCUGCCUGAGCCUCAAUUCAGUCCUUGCUUUGCAGGUGGUCACACAGCCGCACCCAUCAUGACAGUCGCCAGGUGGUGCAUCCCGUGGGGGGGGGGCAGGGCCACCCGUCCCUACGCAGUGAUGACCGGGUGAGAGAGGCCCGAGUCGCUUUAACACUUUGCCUAUCAUAUGCGCGGUACAGACGUGUGCGCUGUCGCAGGCCACUCCGACGCCACCCCAUCCAGGACAUGAACGCCGAUAUCACUAGCGACUCGCCACACUGACCUCACGACGCUGUAGGUGCUUGACGGUGCCACCACCUGAGUUGGCUCGGUGCUGGCAGUGAGAGGGGCUGCCUGACUUUCACACCGAGUGGGAGCACUGGAGUCCUGACACCACGCUGAGGUGUCCCUCAUGAUGAAGGCGUGCCAAUGACAGCACUCCCAAAAGUUCCGCUACUGUGUCUGGGGCCAGUGAGGCCUCCGCCGUCCAAAAAAAGGAAACCUACUUGAGGCGCUUCCGUACACGGCUGUUGAUUGUGCGCCGACUGCUUCGACGUCACUGCUUUCCACUGAUCGCCCCGGCUUGCAUGUGCUUCAGCCGCUACCAUCGCCUCUCACAUUGUGCUUCCCCCUCCCCUUUAUUAACCACUCUUCUUUGCUGCCUCGCUGCUCUACAACAG